GUGCUAGCUUCAGCAGCAGAUAUACUAAAAGUGCAAUGAUACAGAGGAGUUUAGCAUGGCCCCUGCGCAAGGAUGACAUCGUGAAGCGUUCUUAAUUUUU
Molecule: small nuclear RNA, 100 nt
Filed under: Hofstenia miamia
Lineage: Eukaryota; Metazoa; Xenacoelomorpha; Acoela; Hofsteniidae
Source: RNAcentral